RNAcentral lists this transfer RNA (68 nucleotides) under Ipnops sp. auip01. Its description in RNAcentral is "tRNA-Phe". The record is from RNAcentral. Lineage: Eukaryota; Metazoa; Chordata; Actinopteri; Aulopiformes; Ipnopidae.
GCUCGCGUAGUUUACUCAAAACAUAACACUGAAGAUGUUAAAACAGACCCUAAAAAGUCUCGUAGGCA